RNAcentral lists this ribosomal RNA (346 nucleotides) under uncultured bacterium. RNAcentral's name for it is "partial 16S ribosomal RNA". It matches the Rfam family "Bacterial small subunit ribosomal RNA", at positions 338 to 681 of the family's 1533-position model. The record is from RNAcentral.
CCUACGGGUGGCAGCAGUGAGGAAUAGUGGGCAAUGGACGAGAGUCUGAACCAGCCAAGUAGCGUGAAGGAUGACUGCCCUAUGGGUUGUAAACUUCUUUUAUAGGGGAAUAAAAUGUUCCACGUGUGGGAUGUUGUAUGUACCAUAUGAAUAAGGAGCGACUAACUCCGUGCCAGCAGCCGCGGUAAUACGGAGGAUCCGAGCGUUAUCCGGAUUUAGUGGGUUUAAAGGGAGCGUAGGGGGAUUGUUAAGUCAGUGGUGAAAGUUUGCGGCUCAACCGUAAAAUUGCCGUUGAAACUGGCAGUCUUGAUUACAGUAGUGGUGGGCGGUAUUCGUGUUGUAGCGG